This 274-nucleotide ribosomal RNA is filed under the name uncultured bacterium. RNAcentral describes it as "partial 16S ribosomal RNA". It matches the Rfam family "Bacterial small subunit ribosomal RNA", at positions 523 to 796 of the family's 1533-position model. The record is from RNAcentral.
CUACGGAGGGUGCAAGCGUUAUUCGGAAUCACUGGGCGUAAAGGACGCGUAGGCGGGUUGGCAAGUCAGAUGUGAAAUCCUGCAGCUUAACUGUAGAACUGCAUUUGAAACUGCUAACCUAGAGUAUGGGAGGGGGAGAUGGAAUUAGUGGUGUAGGGGUAAAAUCCGUAGAUAUCACUAGGAAUACCGAAAGCGAAGGCGAUCUCCUGGAACAUAACUGACGCUAAGGCGUGAAAGCGUGGGGAGCAAACAGGAUUAGAUACCCCAGUAGUCC